This 939-nucleotide ribosomal RNA is filed under the name Kocuria sp. RNAcentral's name for it is "bacterial SSU rRNA". It matches the Rfam family "Bacterial small subunit ribosomal RNA", at positions 43 to 990 of the family's 1533-position model. Lineage: Bacteria; Bacillati; Actinomycetota; Actinomycetes; Micrococcales; Micrococcaceae. The record is from RNAcentral.
CGUGGGUGCUUACCUGCAGUCGAACGCUGAAGCACCAGCUUGCUGGUGUGGAUGAGUGGCGAACGGGUGAGUAAUACGUGAGUAACCUGCCCUUGACUCUGGGAUAAGCCCGGGAAACUGGGUCUAAUACUGGAUGCUACAUGUCACCGCAUGGUGGUGUGUGGAAAGGGUUUACUGGUCUUGGAUGGGCUCACGGCCUAUCAGCUUGUUGGUGAGGUAAUGGCUCACCAAGGCGACGACGGGUAGCCGGCCUGAGAGGGUGACCGGCCACACUGGGACUGAGACACGGCCCAGACUCCUACGGGAGGCAGCAGUGGGGAAUAUUGCACAAUGGGCGAAAGCCUGAUGCAGCGACGCCGCGUGAGGGAUGACGGCCUUCGGGUUGUAAACCUCUUUCAGCAGGGAAGAAGCCACAAGUGACGGUACCUGCAGAAGAAGCGCCGGCUAACUACGUGCCAGCAGCCGCGGUAAUACGUAGGGCGCAAGCGUUGUCCGGAAUUAUUGGGCGUAAAGAGCUCGUAGGCGGUUUGUCGCGUCUGCUGUGAAAGCCCGGGGCUUAACCCCGGGUGUGCAGUGGGUACGGGCAGACUAGAGUGCAGUAGGGGAGACUGGAAUUCCUGGUGUAGCGGUGGAAUGCGCAGAUAUCAGGAGGAACACCGAUGGCGAAGGCAGGUCUCUGGGCUGUUACUGACGCUGAGGAGCGAAAGCAUGGGGAGCGAACAGGAUUAGAUACCCUGGUAGUCCAUGCCGUAAACGUUGGGCACUAGGUGUGGGGGACAUUCCACGUUUUCCGCGCCGUAGCUAACGCAUUAAGUGCCCCGCCUGGGGAGUACGGCCGCAAGGCUAAAACUCAAAGGAAUUGACGGGGGCCCGCACAAGCGGCGGAGCAUGCGGAUUAAUUCGAUGCACGCGAAGAACCUUACCAAGGCUUGACUAUAC